This 218-nucleotide ribosomal RNA is filed under the name Salmonella enterica. RNAcentral's name for it is "partial 23S ribosomal RNA". It matches the Rfam family "Bacterial large subunit ribosomal RNA", at positions 339 to 559 of the family's 2925-position model. Lineage: Bacteria; Pseudomonadati; Pseudomonadota; Gammaproteobacteria; Enterobacterales; Enterobacteriaceae. The record is from RNAcentral.
CGUCUGGAAAGGUGCGCGAUACAGGGUGACAGCCCCGUACACAAAAGCGCAUGUGCUGUGAGCUCGAUGAGUAGGGCGGGACACGUGGUAUCCUGUCUGAAUAUGGGGGGACCAUCCUCCAAGGCUAAAUACUCCUGACUGACCGAUAGUGAACCAGUACCGUGAGGGAAAGGCGAAAAGAACCCCGGCGAGGGGAGUGAAAAAGAACCUGAAACCGU